CCUACGGUGGGCUGCAGUGGGGGAUAUUGCACAAUGGGGGGAACCCUGAUGCAGCGACGCCGCGUGGGUGAAGGAGCGUUUCGGCGCGUAAAGCCCUAUCGGCAGGGAAGCAGGAGGACGGUCCCUGACUAAGACGCCCCGGCUGAUUACGUGCCAGCAGCCGCGGUAAUACGUAGGGGGCACGCGUUAUCCGGGUUUACUGGGGGUAAAGGGGGCGCAGACGGCAGCGCAAGCCAGUAGUGGAAGCCCGGGGCUCAACCCCGGGACUGCUCUUGGAACUGCGCGGCUGGAGUGCAGGAGGGGCAGGCGGAAUUCCUGGUGUAGCGGUGAAAUGCGUAGAUAUCAGGAGGAACACCGGUGGCGAAGGCGGCCUGCUGGACUGCGACUGACGUUGAGGCCCGAAAGCGUGGGUAGCAAACAGGAUUAGAUACCCGAGUAGUC
This 441-nucleotide ribosomal RNA is filed under the name uncultured bacterium. Its description in RNAcentral is "partial 16S ribosomal RNA". It matches the Rfam family "Bacterial small subunit ribosomal RNA", at positions 338 to 795 of the family's 1533-position model. The record is from RNAcentral.